This 1376-nucleotide ribosomal RNA is filed under the name Clostridioides difficile. RNAcentral's name for it is "bacterial LSU rRNA". It matches the Rfam family "Bacterial large subunit ribosomal RNA", at positions 1534 to 2925 of the family's 2925-position model. The record is from RNAcentral. Lineage: Bacteria; Bacillati; Bacillota; Clostridia; Peptostreptococcales; Peptostreptococcaceae.
AGGCAAAUCCGCUUUGAUAAUGCUGGGAUGUGAUGGGGAGCGAAAUUUAGUAGCGAAGUAGCUGAUUUCACACUGUCAAGAAAAGUCUCUAUCGAGGUUAAAGGUACCCGUACCGCAAACCGACACAGGUGGGUGAGGAGAGUAUCCUAAGGCCAGCGAGAGAACUGUUGUUAAGGAACUCGGCAAAAUGACCCCGUAACUUAGGGAUAAGGGGUGCCACCAUCAGGUGGCCGCAGAGAAUAGGCCCAAGCGACUGUUUACCAAAAACAUAGGUUUCUGCUAAGUCGCAAGACGAUGUAUAGGAGCUGACGCCUGCCCGGUGCUGGAAGGUUAAGGGGAUCUGUUAGAGCAAUCGAAGCAGUGAACUUAAGCCCCAGUAAACGGCGGCCGUAACUAUAACGGUCCUAAGGUAGCGAAAUUCCUUGUCGGGUAAGUUCCGACCCGCACGAAAGGCGUAACGAUUUGGGCACUGUCUCAACAACAGACUCGGUGAAAUUGUAAUUCCGGUGAAGAUGCCGGAUACCUGCGACAGGACGGAAAGACCCCAUGGAGCUUUACUGUAGCUUGACAUUGGGUCUUGGUACUACAUGUACAGGAUAGGUGGGAGGCUUUGAAACCAGGACGCCAGUUUUGGCGGAGCCAUCCUUGGGAUACCACCCUUGUAGUACUGGGACUCUAACCAUAGGCCAUGAAUCUGGUCUUGGGACACUGUCAGGUGGGCAGUUUGACUGGGGCGGUCGCCUCCCAAAAGGUAACGGAGGCGCUCAAAGGUUCUCUCAGUACGGUCGGAAAUCGUACGUAGAGUGUAAAGGCAAAAGAGAGCUUGAUUGCAAGACAUACAGGUCGAGCAAGGAUGAAAAUCGGACUUAGUGAUCCGGUGGUUCUGCGUGGAAGGGCCAUCGCUCAACGGAUAAAAGCUACCCUGGGGAUAACAGGCUUAUCUCCCCCAAGAGUCCACAUCGACGGGGAGGUUUGGCACCUCGAUGUCGGCUCAUCACAUCCUGGGGCUGUAGUAGGUCCCAAGGGUUGGGCUGUUCGCCCAUUAAAGUGGUACGCGAGCUGGGUUCAGAACGUCGUGAGACAGUUCGGUCCCUAUCCGUCGCAGGCGUAGGAAAUUUGAGAAGACCUGUCCUUAGUACGAGAGGACCGGGAUGGACGUACCUCUGGUGUACCAGUUGUUCUGCCAAGGGCAUGGCUGGGUAGCUAUGUACGGAAUGGAUAAGCGCUGAAAGCAUCUAAGCGCGAAGCCAACUUCAAGAUAAGAUUUCCCACCGCAAGGGUAAGACCCCAGAAAGACUAUCUGGUUGAUAGGUCGAAGGUGUAAGUGCAGCAAUGUAUUUAGCUUAUCGAUACUAAUAGGUCGAGGACUUGACCAA